RNAcentral lists this ribosomal RNA (270 nucleotides) under uncultured soil bacterium. RNAcentral's name for it is "partial 16S ribosomal RNA". It matches the Rfam family "Bacterial small subunit ribosomal RNA", at positions 26 to 281 of the family's 1533-position model. The record is from RNAcentral.
AGAAUCAACGCUGGCGGCGUGCCUAACACAUGCAAGUCGAGCGCGAAAGGGGGGUAACUCCCCAAGUAGAGCGGCGAACGGGUGAGUAACGCGUGGGUAAUCUGCCUCCGAGUGGGGAAUAACAGCGGGAAACUGCUGCUAAUACCGCAUGACAUCGUCGAGCCUUCGGGUUUGACGAUCAAAGCCGGGGACCGCAAGGCCUGGCGCUUGGAGAGGAGCCCGCGUCCGAUUAGCUAGUUGGCGGGGUAACGGCCCACCAAGGCGACGAUC